CGGCGGCAGCUUACCAUGCAGUCGAACGAUGAAGCCCUUCGGGGUGGAUUAGUGGCGAACGGGUGAGUAACACGUGGGCAAUCUGCCCUUCGCUCUGGGACAAGCCCUGGAAACGGGGUCUAAUACCGGAUAUCACUCUCGCAGGCAUCUGUGAGGGUCGAAAGCUCCGGCGGUGAAGGAUGAGCCCGCGGCCUAUCAGCUUGUUGGUGAGGUAACGGCUCACCAAGGCGACGACGGGUAGCCGGCCUGAGAGGGCGACCGGCCACACUGGGACUGAGACACGGCCCAGACUCCUACGGGAGGCAGCAGUGGGGAAUAUUGCACAAUGGGCGAAAGCCUGAUGCAGCGACGCCGCGUGAGGGAUGACGGCCUUCGGGUUGUAAACCUCUUUCAGCAGGGAAGAAGCGAAGUGACGGUACCGGCAGAAGAAGC
This 432-nucleotide ribosomal RNA is filed under the name Streptomyces griseoruber. RNAcentral describes it as "bacterial SSU rRNA". It matches the Rfam family "Bacterial small subunit ribosomal RNA", at positions 40 to 491 of the family's 1533-position model. The record is from RNAcentral. Lineage: Bacteria; Bacillati; Actinomycetota; Actinomycetes; Kitasatosporales; Streptomycetaceae.